AUAAAGAUGGCUCAUUUUACUUUGAUCUAAUGGAUCCUGACGGCAAGAAAUUUGGGAGAGGGCCCAGAGAACUUACUGGUGCUGCUGAUCUCAUAAGUCACUACAAGUUGUCAGUACACCAUGAGUUCUUCUGCAAGAGGUCACUUCCUUUGUCAAUCUCUGAUACACACUAUCUCCACAAUGUGGUGGGUGACACAGAAAUUAGGAAAGGAGAGGGGAUGGAAUUGGACCAGCUUAUUCAGGACACCUCAUAUGCAAGAGACACAAAUGCGCACAUAAGGCCUUUUGACCUGGAUACUCUCAAAGAAGCCUUUCUGCUGAGAGAAACAACCCCCAUUGAUCUGCCUAUUGCAGAGAAGGGGAUCCCUACCAUUGCAGGUAAAUCAAAAAGUGAAUCUAAAGAUAAGGAGAAGAAACAUAAGAAGCACAAGGACAGGGAUAUGGAGAAGGACAAGGAGCAUAAGAAGCACAAACACCGCCACAAGGACCGGAGUAAAGAUAAAGACAAGGAGAAGAAGAAAGACAAAAGUGGGCAUCACGAUUCUGGUGCUGACCACUCAAAGAAGCAUCAUGACAAGAAAAGGAAGCAUGAUGGGAGUGAAGAUCUUGCUGACAUUCACAAACACAAGAAAAGUAAGCAAAAGAGCACAAAGUUGGAUGAGAUAGGUGCGAUAAGGGUAGCAGGUUGAUGAUGUGUCAUCUAGUCAUCUCUAUUUCUGAUUUCAUAUUUGGUGCGGUUGAAAAUUAGGAAGGGCUUUUCAUGUGCUGACAAUUUUUUUGGUAUCUCUUCUAAGGUCAAGUCUUGGGACUCUGACGACCCUUGAGGAUGAGAAUUCCUGGGGUGAUUGAGUCCCCUGUGGUGAUCUUGUUGUAGGCUCUUAAAGAUUUUUCCUUCUUUUUUCCAAACACAUAUUUGGAUGACUGACUAAUAAUUCUGGUCUAUUAGUUGGAGGGAUUUGAAAAGAUGCAUCUGUAGGUUAAACAGAAUUC
This is an RNA transcript of Telopea speciosissima, 990 nucleotides long. It is a transcript of the gene named mediator of RNA polymerase II transcription subunit 19a-like, with no coding region annotated. The transcript has 6 exons. The record is from RefSeq and is a predicted model, not a curated record. Lineage: Eukaryota; Viridiplantae; Streptophyta; Magnoliopsida; Proteales; Proteaceae.